GACUAAGCAUAUCAAUAAGCGGAGGAAAAGAAACUAACAAGGAUUCCCCUAGUAACUGCGAGUGAAGCGGGAAAAGCUCAAAUUUAAAAUCUGGCAGUCUCUGGCUGUCCGAGUUGUAAUCUAGAGAAGUAAUGCCCGUGCUGGACCGUGUAUAAGUCUCCUGGGAUGGGGCGUCAUAGAGGGUGAGAAUCCCGUCUUUGACACGGACUACCAGUGCAUUGUGGUAUGCUCUCAAAGAGUCGAGUUGUUUGGGAAUGCAGCUCAAAAUGGGUGGUAAAUUCCAUCUAAAGCUAAAUAUUGGCGAGAGACCGAUAGCGAACAAGUACCGUGAGGGAAAGAUGAAAAGAACUUUGGAAAGAGAGUUAAACAGUACGUGAAAUUGCUGAAAGGGAAACGCUUGAAGUCAGUCGCGUUGGCCGGGAAUCAGCCUUGCUUUUGCAUGGUGUACUUUCUGGUUGACGGGUCAGCAUCAAUUUUGACCGCUGGAAAAAGGCCUGGGGAAUGUGGCAGCUUCGGCUGUGUUAUAGCCCCUAGUCACAUACAGUGGUUGGGAUUGAGGAACUCAGCACGCCGCAAGGCCGGGUUUCGACCACGUUCGUGCUUAGGAUGCUGGCAUAAUGGCUUUAAGCGACCCGUCUUGAAACACGGACCAAGGAGUCUAACAUGCCUGCGAGUAUUUGGGUGGAAAACCCAAGUGCGUAAUGAAAGUGAAAGUUGAGAUCCCUGUCGUGGGGAGCAUCGAYGCCCGGACCAGAACUUUUGGGACGGAUCCGCGGUGGAGCAUGUAUGUUGGGACCCGAAAGAUGGUGAACUAUGCCUGAAUAGGGUGAAGCCAGAGGAAACUCUGGUGGAGGCUCGUAGCGAUUCUGACGUGCAAAUCGAUCGUCAAAUUUGGGUAUAGGGGCGAAAGACUAAUCGAACCAUCUAGUAGCUGGUUCCUGCCG
This 944-nucleotide ribosomal RNA is filed under the name Agaricus sp. Its description in RNAcentral is "LSU rRNA". It matches the Rfam family "Eukaryotic large subunit ribosomal RNA", at positions 32 to 963 of the family's 3401-position model. Lineage: Eukaryota; Fungi; Basidiomycota; Agaricomycetes; Agaricales; Agaricaceae. The record is from RNAcentral.